GUCUUUUAAUUGAAGUCUGGAAUGAAUGGUUUGAUGAAAAAUUUACUUUCUUUAUUUUAAAUAAAUAAUUUGAUUUUUUAAUUAAAAAGUUGAAAUUUUAAUAUAGGACGAGAAGACCCUAUAGAACUUUAUUUUAAUUAAAAAAAUAUAAUUUUGGUAAUGAAUUUUUGUUUUUUUAAAAAAAUUUUGUUGGGGUGAUGGAAAAAAUUUUUUAACUUUUUUUUAUGUUAUCAUUAAUAUAUGAUUUUUUUGAUCCUUUAUUAUGGAAAAUAAGAUUAAGUUACCUUAGGGAUAACAGCGUUAUUAUUUCAGAGAGUUCAUAUCGAUAAAAUAGUUUGCGACCUCGAUGUUGGAUUAAAAUAAGUUUCAGGAGUAGAAAAUUGAAUACUAGGUCUGUUCGACCUUUAAAUUUUUACA
This 417-nucleotide ribosomal RNA is filed under the name Pilophorus typicus. RNAcentral describes it as "partial 16S ribosomal RNA". The stretch from base 291 to 417 matches the Rfam family "Bacterial large subunit ribosomal RNA", at positions 2473 to 2600 of the family's 2925-position model. The record is from RNAcentral. Lineage: Eukaryota; Metazoa; Arthropoda; Insecta; Hemiptera; Miridae.